RNAcentral lists this small RNA (323 nucleotides) under Pan troglodytes (chimpanzee). RNAcentral describes it as "processed transcript". Lineage: Eukaryota; Metazoa; Chordata; Mammalia; Primates; Hominidae. The record is from RNAcentral.
AGGCUCUUGCAGCCAAUGCCGGAACAGGAUUUGCUGUUGCUGAGCCUCAAAUCGCAAUGUUUUGUGGGAAGUUAAAUAUGCAUGUGAACAUUCAGACUGGGAAAUGGGAACCUGAUCCAACAGGCAAACCAGCGGGUUAGUAUUGACAACUGGUGCCGGAGGGACAAAAAGCAAUGCAAGAGUCGCUUUGUUACACCUUUCAAGUGUCUCGUGGGUGAAUUUGUAAGUGAUGUCCUGCUAGUUCCAGAAAAGUGCCUGUUUUUCCACAAAGAGCGGAUGGAGGUGUGCGAGAAUCACCAGCACUGGCACAUGGUAGUCAAAGA